UAAGCCAUAAGUGCCCACCUUAAAGCUCGACUUAGCUAACGCUCAAAACCAGGCCGGUAAAUUCCGUGCCAGCCACCGCGGUUACACGGAAGGCCAUAAACAACAAGCCCAACGGCGUAAACUGUGACUAGAGUAAACUUUUGCCCCCCGAGACAUCAACUUUAGUAUAGUUGUAAAACACAGAUACACAUAAGAUUCACCCCCUCUCUGGAGCCAAACUCUCUUGAACUCACGAAAGCUAGGACAUAAACUAGGAUUAGAUACCCUACUAUACCUAGCUGUAAACCUAGGUGAACCCUUUACCCCGCCCACCCGCCAGAGAACUACGAGUGAAAAACUUGAAACUCCAAGGACUUGACGGUGCCCCAUAACCCCCUAGAGGAGCCUGUCCUACAAUCGAUGCUCCACGCUAAACCUCUCCCCCCUUAGUCAAAAUCAGCCUAUAUACCGCCGUCGCCAGCCUACCUAGUGAUAGUCGCACAGCAGGCAAAAUAGUACUCCCACUAACACGUCAGGUCAAGGUGUAGCUUAUGGGGCGGCAAGAGAUGGGCUACAUUUUCUAACCACUAGAAAAUCCACCGUAGACUAUAUGAAACUUCUAGCCGACCGGCGGAUUUAGCAGUAAAUAACGACAAGCUAUGUCCAAUUGAAGUAGGCCCUGAGGCGCGCACACACCGCCCGUCACCCUCCUCAAAAAUCCUUAUAAAAAUAACUAAACCACACACUAACUGCAAGACGAGGCAAGUCGUAACAUGGUAAGCCUACCGGAAGGUGGGCUUGGCACACACAGGGGGUAGCUUACACCCGACCCAAAAGCACCUAGCUUACACCUAGACGACGCGGCUAUCCCGCCCCCUUGAGCUGACCAGUUAGCCGGCCCUACCCCUGAAAACACCCUUCUACCCCCUCCAACUAAAACAUUCGCCAAAGAGAGUAUUAGAGAAAGAAACCUACCCCCGCGCAAUAGCCAACAGUACUACAUAGGAACACUGAAAGACCAUUAACCACUUUAAGCAUAAAACAGCA
This 1026-nucleotide ribosomal RNA is filed under the name Phyllodactylus xanti. Its description in RNAcentral is "partial 12S ribosomal RNA". The stretch from base 1 to 793 matches the Rfam family "Bacterial small subunit ribosomal RNA", at positions 443 to 1533 of the family's 1533-position model. The record is from RNAcentral. Lineage: Eukaryota; Metazoa; Chordata; Lepidosauria; Squamata; Phyllodactylidae.